Molecule: long non-coding RNA, 626 nt
Organism: Penaeus chinensis
Lineage: Eukaryota; Metazoa; Arthropoda; Malacostraca; Decapoda; Penaeidae
Exons: 3
Source: RefSeq, a predicted model, not a curated record
GCUCGUGAGAGGAACUCAACUCCGGGUAACGCUAGACAUCGACCAGGAGCCGCGACUUAAAAAUUGCUUUGAUUUGCCUUUCCACUGGACUCCCGGAGCGACACGCUAACAGUGAAGCGGAUGACUCAGCUUUCUUCCGACUUCACGGACCUUGCAAGAAAAGUCCGAGACACGAGUCCUGUUGUGUCUCGAGAGAUUAUUCUUCGGAACACAAUUUUGGGUUGAUUGAAGGAAAUCGAAAAUCGUAAAUGCGUUUCGUGCCAAUUAUCUUGUUCACGAGAUUGUUUUUUCUCCUUUCAGAAUUAAGAACAAUUAUAGUAUCAAUUAAUCUCGAACGUGAGGGACUCGGUAUGAGAUGUGUUUAUGAAAGUGAUUGACAGACAAUUUAAAGAGUAAUGCAGAGUGAAGGAAAAAUGAAAGUCGUAAAAUAGGCUACAAAGGAACACAAAUUCCGUCCCACGGGAUGAAUCUGACAGUCCGCCACAGUCGCCGCAGAAACCAAAGACAGACGCUUUGUCCUGAGCAAUAGUUACUUCCUGUUUCGCGAGAUCUUUGGAAGUUGGAGUCGCUUGGGAGGCUCGUGUUAGGGGCGUGCGAGCGCCGCCAUGAGCUUCCGGAGUGUGAAG